GCCUGCGUGUAUAAUGCAUAGGUGACGAAUCACCUGUGUGGCAAGUUAAGCAACGUUGAGUCCAGUUAGUACUUGGAUCGGAGACGGCCUGGGAAUCCUGGAUGUUGUAAGCU
Non-coding RNA from Caenorhabditis japonica, 113 nucleotides. Lineage: Eukaryota; Metazoa; Nematoda; Chromadorea; Rhabditida; Rhabditidae. The record is from Rfam.